GGGAACUGGAAUACUCUGUAGUACACGUCAAUCCAGAGCAUCUUUUAACAUGCUCAAUGUCUGAGUUCUGGAAGGAGCUGAUGUCCCAAUGGCGGAAGGUGCUGUUCUUGAAGCUGGCCCGGCUCUUGGUGAUGCGAUAGAUCUUCCUCAGCACGGCCCGGCGCAGCAAAAUGUAGACCCAGGGGUCCAGGAUCUGGUUCCAGGAGGCCAGCCGGACGCCCAUCACCAUCAACCUCCUGUAUGUAUCCUGGUCAUUGCCUAUGGAACCGCUAUAGGACCAUGUGACUGACAUCAGGCCAAAGAUCUGCAAGUAACACAGAUACCUGGGUUAGUUUUACAGUGGUUGUGCAGGACAUAGAUAUGUUCAGCUGGUGUUUAUAUAUUUGCAUCAAUCUGCAUACACUGCUAGUAAUUUAUAUACAUUACCCGACACUGUAGAUUGCCACAUGUUAACAAAAAAAAUGAAUAAAGGUAGCAGUCAAAAUGCAUCUUCACAACGUGUUCCUAGGAAUAGCUUUACUGAUGUUAGAAAUCACAGGCUCAAAGUUGUAGCCUUAUAAAUCUUAUUUACAAUUUUUUAACAAUUGGCCACAGCUUAUUAAGAGAUUUUAAGCACAAACAAUGCCUCUGUAAUGGUUCUUACAUCUCCCCAACAGUAAAACAUGUAUGCUGAUCUGUUCCUAUUUAGUUCACACAUCAGUAAUUAUAUUUGGGCCCAACUUCUGUGCAGUAUUGUGCAAAUCAACAGCAUAUUAGGGAGAAGGAACAAGAGGGGGGUGCUCAAGGCUACUCUAAGUUUUAACAGACCCAGUGAUGACAAGUAACAGGCUGCCAUAAUUUGAAGCAUGGUUUAUAGUCUGUCCUCUUUCACUUCUCACAGUUUAUGUGUCAAAAUGAAUGGUUACUUUUAAAUUGGACCUGAAUGUAGAUUGCUUUGUAUGUUUCUAUUGUUGUUUGGUCAGGGUGUGAUUUGGGUGGGAAUUCUAUGUUUGUAUGUCUAGGUUUUUGUAUUUCUAUGUUUCGGCCUGGUAUGGUUCUCAGUCAGGGACAGCUGUCUAUCGUUGUCUCUGAUUGGGAAUCAUAGGUAGUUGUAUUUCUGUUUAGUGUUUGUGUCACCUUGCAGGACUGUUUCAGGUCUUUCUUUUGUUCUUUUUUGUAUUCAGUGUUCAGUUCCUUAAAAUAAAGAUGAACACGUUUCCCGCUGCAUUUUGUUUCUGACGAUUCCUCUUCUUCCGAUGAAAGCCGUUACAACAUAUUAACAGUUUAUACAAAAUUCUUAGUAUUGGAAUUGUAAAAAAAAAUAUAUCCUUGAUUAAAAAAUCAUCAAACCAUCA
Molecule: long non-coding RNA, 1334 nt
Organism: Oncorhynchus tshawytscha (Chinook salmon)
Lineage: Eukaryota; Metazoa; Chordata; Actinopteri; Salmoniformes; Salmonidae
Exons: 2
Source: RefSeq, a predicted model, not a curated record